GCAGAAGGGAGGUCUGUCGCUUCAUGCCGGGCGCAUGAAGAGGAAAGUCCGGGCAACACAGAGCGCCAUACUUGCCAACGACAAGCCGGCGGCGACGUCGGGGUGAAUGUGACAGAAAACUACCGCCGGAGGGUCACUGAUCUUACGGUAAGGGUGAAAAGGCGGGGUAAGAGCCCACCGGGUGCCGUGGCGACACGGCAUGCCGCACAUCCUAUGGGUUGCAAGGCUAAAUACACCGGCAGCUAAGGGCUGCUCGUCCAUUGCCGGGGGGUAGGCUGCUCGGCGCUUCGGCGCCGGAGCCGUCUGGCGACAGACGGUCAAGAUAAAUGACAGACAGCACGACUCCUACCGAGAAGUGCCACAUAACCCGGCUUACAUCCCCUCUGCUUUC
RNAcentral lists this RNase P RNA (391 nucleotides) under Muribaculaceae bacterium. RNAcentral's name for it is "RNase P RNA component class A". It matches the Rfam family "Bacterial RNase P class A". Rfam says of the family: Ribonuclease P (RNase P) is a ubiquitous endoribonuclease, found in archaea, bacteria and eukarya as well as chloroplasts and mitochondria. Its best characterised activity is the generation of mature 5'-ends of tRNAs by cleaving the 5'-leader elements of precursor-tRNAs. Lineage: Bacteria; Pseudomonadati; Bacteroidota; Bacteroidia; Bacteroidales; Muribaculaceae. The record is from RNAcentral.